CCUGGCUCAGGAUGAACGCUGGCGGCGUGCUUAACACAUGCAAGUCGACGAAGCGCUACCGACGGAACUUUUCGGAGGGAAGAUGGUAAUGACUGAGUGGCGGACGGGUGAGUAACGCGUGGGUAACCUGCCUCACAGAGGGGGACAACAGCCGGAAACGGCUGCUAAUACCGCAUAACAAGGGAUUGCCGCAUGACGAUCCUUUCAAAGAUUUAUCGCUGUGAGAUGGACCCGCGUCUGAUUAGCUUGUUGGUGGGGUAACGGCCUACCAAGGCGACGAUCAGUAGCCGGCUUGAGAGAGUGAACGGCCACAUUGGGACUGAGACACGGCCCAGACUCCUACGGGAGGCAGCAGUGGGGAAUAUUGCACAAUGGGGGAAACCCUGAUGCAGCGACGCCGCGUGAGUGAAGAAGUAUUUCGGUAUGUAAAGCUCUAUCAGCAGGGAAGAUAAUGACGGUACCUGACUAAGAAGCCUCGGCUAACUACGUG
RNAcentral lists this ribosomal RNA (490 nucleotides) under uncultured Lachnospiraceae bacterium. Its description in RNAcentral is "bacterial SSU rRNA". It matches the Rfam family "Bacterial small subunit ribosomal RNA", at positions 18 to 507 of the family's 1533-position model. Lineage: Bacteria; Bacillati; Bacillota; Clostridia; Lachnospirales; Lachnospiraceae. The record is from RNAcentral.